UACAGAGGGCGCAAGCGUUGUUCGGAUUCAUUGGGCGUAAAGGGCGCGUAGGCGGCGCGGUAAGUCGGGUGUGAAAUCUCGGAGCUUAACUCCGAAACUGCAUUCGAUACUGCCGUGCUUGAGGACUGGAGAGGAGACUGGAAUUUACGGUGUAGCGGUGAAAUGCGUAGAUAUCGUAAGGAAGACCAGUGGCGAAGGCGGGUCUCUGGACAGUUCCUGACGCUGAGGCACGAAGGUCAGGGGAGCAAACGGG
Molecule: ribosomal RNA, 253 nt
Filed under: uncultured bacterium
Lineage: Bacteria
Description: partial 16S ribosomal RNA
Rfam family: Bacterial small subunit ribosomal RNA
Source: RNAcentral